AAUAUUGCGCAAUGGGGGAAACCCUGACGCAGCGACGCCGCGUGAGUGAUGAAGGUCUUCGGAUCGUAAAACUCUGUCCUCAGGGAAGAAACAAAUGACGGUACCUGAGGAGGAAGCCCCGGCUAACUCCGUGCCAGCAGCCGCGGUAAUACGGAGGAUCCAAGCGUUAUCCGGAAUCAUUGGGUUUAAAGGGUCCGUAGGCGGCCUUAUAAGUCAGCGGUGAAAGUUUUUGGCUUAACCAAAAAAUUGCCGUUGAUACUGUAGGGCUUGAAUUUUUGUGAAGUAACUAGAAUAUGUAGUGUAGCGGUGAAAUGCUUAGAUAUUACAUGGAAUACCAAUUGCGAAGGCAGGUUACUAACAAACGAUUGACGCUGAUGGACGAAAGCGUGGGUAGCGAACA
Molecule: ribosomal RNA, 400 nt
Filed under: uncultured bacterium
Lineage: Bacteria
Description: partial 16S ribosomal RNA
Rfam family: Bacterial small subunit ribosomal RNA
Source: RNAcentral